GGGCGCCCGGAGCCGCUGCCGGCACGGCGAGCGAGGGGACGGGCGUAUUGGAGUCUGCUGUGCAAGACACGUCUACACCCGUCGUUGCUGACUGAAUCUUCACGUCAUGGCCUGUGUGUUCUGUGUAGUCCCUGAUAGUGCAACUCAGGGGAAAUACUAGCAGAGAGGCUGCAAGUAGUCUGUGGAUAACCUGUGAAGAUCCCCGAAGUUUUUCUGUGUGGGACUGACAUUAAUUUUGAGGAUUGGAAUGAGCACUGCAGAUAGAGCAAUGUGUUUUUCAGCUAAGA
RNAcentral lists this long non-coding RNA (287 nucleotides) under Cyanistes caeruleus (blue tit). Its description in RNAcentral is "lncRNA (ENSCCEG00000000103.1)". The record is from RNAcentral. Lineage: Eukaryota; Metazoa; Chordata; Aves; Passeriformes; Paridae.